RNAcentral lists this unclassified non-coding RNA (209 nucleotides) under fungal sp. Its description in RNAcentral is "partial internal transcribed spacer region". The stretch from base 1 to 46 matches the Rfam family "Eukaryotic small subunit ribosomal RNA", at positions 1786 to 1831 of the family's 1831-position model. The record is from RNAcentral. Lineage: Eukaryota; Fungi.
AAGUCGUAACAAGGUUUCCGUAGGUGAACCUGCGGAAGGAUCAUUAACAAAUCCGUGUUGUGCAGCAGCUGCUGCACAAUAACACAUUAGCCCCCACAAGGGGUCUUGGCCAGCAAUGGCCAAUAUUUACCACGCUUUACAGUUUGACGAUCGACCAGUAAUUUAAUGAAAAGAGAGUAUAACUUUUAACAAUGGAUCUCUUGGCUCUU